This 458-nucleotide ribosomal RNA is filed under the name uncultured bacterium. Its description in RNAcentral is "partial 16S ribosomal RNA". It matches the Rfam family "Bacterial small subunit ribosomal RNA", at positions 338 to 795 of the family's 1533-position model. The record is from RNAcentral.
CCUACGGGGAGCAGCAGUGAGGAAUAUUGGUCAAUGGGCGAGAGCCUGAACCAGCCAAGUCGCGUGAGGGAGUACUGCCCUAUGGGUUGUAAACCUCUUUUGUCGGGGAGCAAAAGCCGGACGUGUCCGGCUGUGAGAGUACCCGAAGAAAAAGCAUCGGCUAACUCCGUGCCAGCAGCCGCGGUAAUACGGAGGAUGCGAGCGUUAUCCGGAUUUAUUGGGUUUAAAGGGUGCGCAGGCGGAUUUUUAAGUCAGCGGUAAAAUCGUGGGGCUCAACCCCAUCCAGCCGUUGAAACUGGGGAUCUAGAGUGUGCGAGAGGUAUGCGGAAUGCGUGGUGUAGCGGUGAAAUGCAUAGAUAUCACGCAGAACCCCGAUUGCGAAGGCAGCAUACCGGUGCACAACUGACGCUCAGGCACGAAAGCGUGGGUAUCGAACAGGAUUAGAUACCCUAGUAGUC